RNAcentral lists this ribosomal RNA (477 nucleotides) under uncultured bacterium. Its description in RNAcentral is "bacterial SSU rRNA". It matches the Rfam family "Bacterial small subunit ribosomal RNA", at positions 336 to 805 of the family's 1533-position model. The record is from RNAcentral.
CUCCUACGGGAGGCAGCAGUGGGGAAUAUUGGACAAUGGGGGCAACCCUGAUCCAGCCAUGCCGCGUGUGUGAAGAAGGCCUUCGGGUUGUAAAGCACUUUCAGUGGUGAGGAAAGGGUAAUCGUUAAUAGCGGUUACAGUUGACGUUACCCACAGAAGAAGCACCGGCUAACUCCGUGCCAGCAGCCGCGGUAAUACGGAGGGUGCAAGCGUUAAUCGGAAUUACUGGGCGUAAAGCGUACGUAGGCGGUUUGUUAAGCAAGAUGUGAAAGCCCCGGGCUCAACCUGGGAAUGGCAUUUUGAACUGGCACGCUAGAGUCCUGAAGAGGGUGGUAGAAUUUCCAGUGUAGCGGUGAAAUGCGUAGAUAUUGGAAGGAAUCCCGGUGGCGAAGGCGGCCCCCUGGUCAGAGACUGACGCUGAGGUACGAAAGCGUGGGGAGCAAACAGGAUUAAAACCCUGGUAUUCCAGGGCCGUAA